Molecule: non-coding RNA, 995 nt
Organism: Ictidomys tridecemlineatus (thirteen-lined ground squirrel)
Lineage: Eukaryota; Metazoa; Chordata; Mammalia; Rodentia; Sciuridae
Source: RefSeq, a predicted model, not a curated record
CGGGAACCACCUCGCAACGCUGGGGAGCCGGAAGCGAGCCACAGAGGAAAUGGAGACGCAAGUCCAGCCACUGACCCGCGGCCUGGCCGCUGUCCCGCUGCACGUCGCCAGCCUGCCGGGGCUGCCACCCCACGCCUGACUGAAAGGCCGGCCCCACCACCACUCCCUGCCCAGCUUCCCCGGCCCCGGGAGCCAUUGUUCUCUCCUGAUGAAGCCAAGUCCUCUAGGGACCUCGAGGAAACCAAAAUAAUGUCAAAUGACAAGAGCUUCGCUGAAAAAGAAGACACAAGCAAAGCAGACACCCAACAAAGCAUUAAUGUCCAGAGGGGUAAAGAAUUCCUGAAAUCGCAUUACAGGAGAACUCUGCCUUGUCUUUCUGCUUUGUCCUUAGAAAAAUAUAAAAUUAUUAUUCCACGAGGAGGCAACCAAAAGGAUGAAGCUGAAAAAUGUAGAAAAAGGAAAUCAUACAGGUGCAUGUCAGAGAGUCCUCUGUAACCUGGAUCCACCAGGGCUGGUAGCCUGUUCUCUCUUCCUCACCAAAGGAGUCCUGUUGUUCUCAGGCAGCAGCAUGCCCCCCUUAUUUAUUUAUUUUAAAAUUUCCCAGCCUCCUUGGAAGCCAGGGCUAGCCCCGGGAUACUGUUCUGGCCAACGGGAUAGACGAGGCCUCUGGCGGAGCUUCCAGGAAAGCACUAAAGGAGCUGUCCAGGGGUGUGCCUGUUGCUCUCCCCUUCUUGACUGGAAUAAUGAUGGGAUGCUGGAUGAGAGGCAGGCAUCUCGCCACCUCAAAGAUCCUGUGAGAAAGAAAAUUACAUGCUAAAUAUGAAGGAGUGAAAGAGAGAUACAGGGAAGGACCACAAAUCAUUGAGUUUCUCAAGUGAGACAAAAUGUUUCAUUUAAGCCACUGUACAAUUGUGACUGUACAUUAUCCUUAACUGAUACACAUGUUUCAAAGUACCACAAACUGGGUGCUUAAACAAAAGGGAGUUACUGUCUCA